RNAcentral lists this transfer RNA (69 nucleotides) under Dendropsophus seniculus (Corcovado treefrog). Its description in RNAcentral is "tRNA-Val". It matches the Rfam family "tRNA". From Rfam's summary of the family: Transfer RNA (tRNA) molecules are approximately 80 nucleotides in length. Lineage: Eukaryota; Metazoa; Chordata; Amphibia; Anura; Hylidae. The record is from RNAcentral.
CAAAAUGUAGCUUAACCAAAGCACCUCGCUUACACCGAGAAAAUAUCUGUGAAACUCUGAUCAUUUUGA